UACGGAGGGUGCAAGCGUUAUCCGGAUUCACUGGGUUUAAAGGGUGCGUAGGUGGGCAGGUAAGUCAGUGGUGAAAUCUCCGGGCUUAACUCGGAAACUGCCGUUGAUACUAUCUGUCUUGAAUAUCGUGGAGGUUAGCGGAAUAUGUCAUGUAGCGGUGAAAUGCUUAGAUAUGACAUAGAACACCGAUUGCGAAGGCAGCUAACUACACGAUCAUUGACACUGAGGCACGAAAGCGUGGGGAGCAAACAGG
Molecule: ribosomal RNA, 253 nt
Filed under: uncultured bacterium
Lineage: Bacteria
Description: partial 16S ribosomal RNA
Rfam family: Bacterial small subunit ribosomal RNA
Source: RNAcentral